GAGCACAGGUGGUUCUUUUGAAGUAGAUGAACAGCAGCAUUGCUCAGUACUGGAACCUGUAAUCACCAAUUCUGUUGAGUUGCCUCCUCUGCCAGAGGGCUCUCCACCACUGCCUCCUGAUUCUCCUCCUCCACCCCCACCUUUACCUCCCUCACCCCCGCCUCCACUCCCAAUGUCUCCAUCACCACCUCCUCCUCCACCGCCUCUUCCAUCACAACCACCUCCUCCUCAUAUACCACCUUCAGGCCCUCCACAAUCGUUGGUACCUCAACUGUCAGUACCAACUCAA
This 289-nucleotide long non-coding RNA is filed under the name Ricinus communis (castor bean). Its description in RNAcentral is "long non-coding RNA (RCOM_LNC001306)". Lineage: Eukaryota; Viridiplantae; Streptophyta; Magnoliopsida; Malpighiales; Euphorbiaceae. The record is from RNAcentral.